Molecule: ribosomal RNA, 392 nt
Filed under: uncultured eukaryote
Lineage: Eukaryota
Description: partial 18S ribosomal RNA
Rfam family: Eukaryotic small subunit ribosomal RNA
Source: RNAcentral
CAAUAGCGUAUACUAAAGUUGUUGCGAUUAAAAAGCUCGUAGUUGGAUCUCAGGCAUGGGCGCACGGUCCGCCUCGCGGCGGUCACUGUGUGUUUUGUUUCCCAUCCUACGCUUCCCGGUUAUCAGCCCAUGGUGCUCUUCACUGAGCGUUUUGGGUGGCCGGAACGUUUACUUUGAAGAAAUUAGAGUGUUCAAAGCAGGCACGUCGCCUGAAUAAUGGUGCAUGGAAUAAUGGAAUAGGACCUCGGUUCUAUUUUGCUGGUUUUCGGAACACGAGGUAAUGAUUAAGAGGGACAGACGGGGGCAUCCGUAUUGCGGUGUUGGAGGUGAAAUUCUUGGAUCAUCGCAAGACGAACAACUGCGAAAGCAUUUGCCAAGCAUGUUUUCAUUAG